RNAcentral lists this ribosomal RNA (465 nucleotides) under uncultured bacterium. RNAcentral describes it as "partial 16S ribosomal RNA". It matches the Rfam family "Bacterial small subunit ribosomal RNA", at positions 28 to 507 of the family's 1533-position model. The record is from RNAcentral.
GACGAACGCUGGCGGCGUGCUUAACACAUGCAAGUCGAACGGAAAGGCCCCUUCGGGGGUACUCGAGUGGCGAACAGGUGAGUAACACGUGAGUAACCUGCCCUUGACUUCGGGAUAACUUCAGGAAACUGGGGCUAAUACCGGAUAGGAAUCCUUGCUGCGUGGUGGGGGUUGGAAAGCUUCGGCGGUUUUGGAUGGACUCGCGGCUUAUCAGCUUGUUGGUGGGGUAGUGGCUUACCAAGGCUUUGACGGGUAGCCGGCCUGAGAGGGCGACCGGCCACAUUGGGACUGAGAUACGGCCCAGACUCCUACGGGAGGCAGCAGUGGGGAAUAUUGCACAAUGGGCGGAAGCCUGAUGCAGCAACGCCGCGUGCGGGAUGACGGCCUUCGGGUUGUAAACCGCUUUCAGCAGGGGCGAAGCUUGUGGUGACGGUACCUGCAGAAGAAGCACCGGCUAACUACGUG